AAGGAAAUAAUUUAAUUUAAAAUAUAGGACUUCAAAUCUUAAAAUACGUCAAUUCGUUUUUCUUG
RNAcentral lists this transfer RNA (65 nucleotides) under Vignadula atrata. RNAcentral describes it as "tRNA-Trp". It matches the Rfam family "tRNA". Rfam says of the family: Transfer RNA (tRNA) molecules are approximately 80 nucleotides in length. Their secondary structure includes four short double-helical elements and three loops (D, anti-codon, and T loops). The record is from RNAcentral. Lineage: Eukaryota; Metazoa; Mollusca; Bivalvia; Mytilida; Modiolidae.